GUACUGAUGAAGAGUAUCAAACUAGGACGAAACAGCUGUCCAGUAC
Molecule: non-coding RNA, 46 nt
Filed under: Trichobilharzia regenti
Lineage: Eukaryota; Metazoa; Platyhelminthes; Trematoda; Strigeidida; Schistosomatidae
Source: RNAcentral